RNAcentral lists this unclassified non-coding RNA (97 nucleotides) under Kalymmatonema hyalinum. RNAcentral's name for it is "Scytonema hyalinum 23S-5S ITS". The record is from RNAcentral. Lineage: Bacteria; Bacillati; Cyanobacteriota; Cyanophyceae; Nostocales; Scytonemataceae.
AAUCAAUUGGUGUAAGACAAGUUGCUGUGCAACCUUCAGGGUUUCUGAAAAUUUCAUUUUGAAAUUUCAAAACUACUUUUAAUUUUUAACUAGUUUU